RNAcentral lists this ribosomal RNA (490 nucleotides) under uncultured bacterium. Its description in RNAcentral is "bacterial SSU rRNA". It matches the Rfam family "Bacterial small subunit ribosomal RNA", at positions 29 to 507 of the family's 1533-position model. The record is from RNAcentral.
AACAAACGCUGGCGGCGUGUCUUAAGCAUGCAAGUUGAGCGGCAAGGAGGAGAGAUCCUCCCUAGAGCAGCGGACUGGUGAGUAAUGCGUGGGUAAUCUAUCUUAGGCAUGGGGAUAGUCACUAGAAAUAGUGGGUAAUACCGAAUAAGUUCCAUAAGGGGAGGACUUAUGGAAGAAAGGUGCUACGGCACUGGCCUUAGGUGAGCUCGCGUCCCAUUAGCUAGUUGGUGAGGUAAAGGCCCACCAAGGCGAUGAUGGGUAGCCGGCCUGAGAGGGUGUACGGCCACACUGGGACUGAGAUACGGCCCAGACUCCUACGGGAGGCAGCAGCUAAGAAUAUUCCGCAAUGGACGGAAGUCUGACGGAGCGACGCCGCGUGGAUGAAGAAGGCCGAAAGGUUGUAAAGUUCUUUUGCUAGGGGAGAAUAAGUGUGGGAAGGAAUGCCUGCACGAUGACAAGGACUAGCGAAUAAGUCCCGGCCAACUACGUG